RNAcentral lists this ribosomal RNA (509 nucleotides) under uncultured Glomus. RNAcentral's name for it is "SSU rRNA". It matches the Rfam family "Eukaryotic small subunit ribosomal RNA", at positions 569 to 1081 of the family's 1831-position model. Lineage: Eukaryota; Fungi; Glomeromycota; Glomeromycetes; Glomerales; Glomeraceae. The record is from RNAcentral.
AGCAGCCGCGGUAAUUCCAGCUCCAAUAGCGUAUAUUAAAGUUGUUGCAGUUAAAAAGCUCGUAGUUGAAUUUCGGGAUCAAUUUAUUGGUCGUGCUAUUGUACGUACUGGUAUUAUUGAUUCCUACCUUCUGACGAACCAUGAUGUCAUUAAUUUGGUGUCUUGGGGAAUCAGGACUGUUACUUUGAAAAAAUUAGAGUGUUUAAAGCAGGCUCACGCUUGAAUACAUUAGCAUGGAAUAACGAAAUAGGACGUUUGAUUCUAUUUUGUUGGUUUCUAGGAUCGACGUAAUGAUUAAUAGGGAUAGUUGGGGGCAUUAGUAUUCAAUUGUCAGAGGUGAAAUUCUUGGAUUUAUUGAAGACUAACUACUGCGAAAGCAUUUGCCAAGGAUGUUUUCAUUAAUCAAGAACGAAAGUUAGGGGAUCGAAGACGAUCAGAUACCGUCGUAGUCUUAACCAUAAACUAUGCCGACUAGGGAUCGGAUGAUGUUAAUUUUUAAUGACUCAUUC